GAUAGCUCAGUUGGUAGAGCACCUGACUGUUAAUCAGGUUGUCGCUGGUUCGAGCCCAGCU
Molecule: transfer RNA, 61 nt
Filed under: uncultured Halospina sp.
Lineage: Bacteria; Pseudomonadati; Pseudomonadota; Gammaproteobacteria
Rfam family: tRNA
About the family: Transfer RNA (tRNA) molecules are approximately 80 nucleotides in length. Their secondary structure includes four short double-helical elements and three loops (D, anti-codon, and T loops). Further hydrogen bonds mediate the characteristic L-shaped molecular structure. tRNAs have two regions of fundamental functional importance: the anti-codon, which is responsible for specific mRNA codon recognition, and the 3' end, to which the tRNAs corresponding amino acid is attached (by aminoacyl-tRNA synthetases). tRNAs cope with the degeneracy of the genetic code in two manners: having more than one tRNA (with a specific anti-codon) for a particular amino acid; and 'wobble' base-pairing, i.e. permitting non-standard base-pairing at the 3rd anti-codon position.
Source: RNAcentral